RNA transcript from Panicum virgatum (switchgrass), 2707 nucleotides. It is a transcript of the gene named protein GLE1-like, with no coding region annotated. NCBI's taxonomy places the organism in Eukaryota, Viridiplantae, Streptophyta, Magnoliopsida, Poales, Poaceae. The record is from RefSeq and is a predicted model, not a curated record. The transcript has 15 exons.
UCGGCGGCGAACAGCCAGUCUCCCAGGUUUCCAGGCGAUCCCUCCUGUAGUCCUGUCUGUCGCCGCCGUUCCGUUCCCCACCGUCGAUUCGCCUCCGCUCCUGUUCGCCCGCCGACGCGUCUGUCUUCCUCGCUCUGCUCGCCGCUGCGCCCCCCACCCCCCACCCCCCACCCACACCUUGACUCUAGGGAACGCCACAAUCAAACUCCGACUGCCCACCACAUCAUCGCCGGUAAAUUCACAUCCCUCGAUCCUCCGGCAGCGUGCGCACUUUUUUUUUUUGGGUCUCAGCACUGGUCACCGCUCGCAAUCUCCCAGCCUGGUCCAAUUCGCUUGGAUUCCUUUUCUAUUUUUGAAUUCACCCUGCGCCCUCUGCCCUUGUGGACAAGCGCCCGGCGUACUUCUCACGCAGCGAGCGCAGCUGCGCAGGGAGUCAAGGAGGAACCCUAGACGGCCCGGGACGCCCAGCACCACAUCGCCGGCGACGAGCUCCAUGGGCUUCGCGCGCGUGGAGCUGCGGUGCCCCAGGGCCCUCGACCCGCGCCCGAGCUGGACGCUCGGCGACGUCCUCGCGGAGCUCGACGCGCUGGACGCCACCCGCCGGGCUGCGCAGCCCACACCCCUGAAGCAGCCGCCGGAUUGGGCUAGCGAUGGCAGUGCGAGACAGAAGGCCUUUGUGAUGCGGGUUGAUGAUGAAGACGAUUCAGAUGAUGAACACGAUAUUAGUGAUGGGGAGUCCCAUGCUCUUGUGGCCAAAGGGGCAAGGUUCUCGUGCAAUGACCUUGAAUCCAGUGAUUCAGACGAUGAAUCAGGUGGCCAGGUUGCACCGUACCUCUUAAUGGAGAAAAUGAACCUAGAGAAGAGCAUUCUUCUUGAGCUGGAACGCGAGCAUCAUCUCAAAGUUCAAGAAGAAGUCAGAAGUAAGCUAUCUGCAUUGGAGGCAUGCCACCAAAAUGAAAUCCAGAGAACAAUUUCUGCGUUUGCUCGACUUCAGAAAUAUGCAGAAUCAAGGAAAGAAAUAGAUAGAAGACUAGAUGUACACUUCCAGAGAAGAAUUGCAGAAGUACUCGACAGACACUUGUCUAUGGUCCAAAGGGAUCAUGAACAGAAAUCCCAGAUUGUAGAACGUCGAAUAAGAGAUGAUGCAGCUCUUGAAGAAGCUAAAAGAAAAGAGCAAGCUAUCAAGGAAGAAAAGUUAAGGCAGGAAAGAGCCCGGCAAGAUUCAGAGGCUAGGCAGAAGGAAGCUGCAAAAUUAGCAGCUGAAGCACGGAAAGCAGCAUUUGAGGCUGCUCAAAAGGAAGCUGCGGAAAAGGAAGCUGCAGAAAAGGAGGCUGCCAAAUUGAGGGAAGCAGCAGCUUCCCAAUCUAGUGAAAAUUCUCAGAAUAAUAUUGCAGGUAUCAAAGUUUUUGCCGAUAAAUAUGCAUUAGAAGCGGAAUCACGGAGGUGUGCAUUGGUACACAAUCAAGUGCCAGAAAACAUUCAUCUCAACAAGGAAUUCAGCAAAUAUGACCGACAAAUUGCCAAAUCCAUAGGUAAACUUAUGCCAACCACUGACAGUGUCAGAGCAAGGGCUAGUGAGCUUAUUAAAGCUUUAGAUGGACGAGAUUGUCCCCGUCCGAUCGCAUGCUCUCUAUUUGCAAACAAGAUUAUUUCAAUUGUCAAGAGUAGAAAUACAAAGGACAAAACCUUUGGAAACCUGGCCUUUGCAUGUGGAUAUGUCAUGCUAUUAGUCACAAACCAGGUACCAGAUGCAAUGGAGUAUCUUCUAGCUGAGUUCAACAGAGUUUGCCUAUACACAGUUCCAAAGCAUCUGCAUGCUUUGAAUGCACAAGCACGUAAUAGAGAUUACUAUAGAUUGAUAGGUUACCAAGAAGAAAAUGGACAGCUUGAGAGCACUGAAAGUUAUUUAACAUACAUUGUUGCAUACAUCAAAAUGUAUGCGGCAAUGAUUCAGAAACAUGACUGCCCGACUUCAUUUACAGACUGAAAUCAAAGGUGUACGUCAUCCGCACGGCUUAGCCGAGGGAUGGAAGUGGCUUGCGAUGUUCCUCAAUGCUCUCCCAGCUACCACAGCCACUGCGUGUGCCCUUCAUGCUUUCCUCAAGAUGGCCGGUUUUGCACUUCACAAAAAAUAUGGAUCACAAUUCCUGAAAAUCCUGGAUGUGAUAUCGCGGUGCUUUUUACCAGCUCUGAAAGAUCAAGGCAACAAAAUGCAGUCCGAGGCUGUCAACAAUCUACAGAAUUAUCUGAAUGACAAAAUCUACCUCCAGGAACCAGAAGGGCAGUACCUUGUUCAGCAACUACUGUCCAAAGAGUUGUUCAUGUGAAGAUUAAAACACCAGAUCGGCAUGGGGCUGUAGAGUACGUACAUCAUCAGGCACGGUCAUUGCGUGUGAUUAGCUCCAGUUGACAGUUGAGCCUCCAAAGGCAAUUGGGCUUUGCAGAUUAACUGUCGAUGAAUAUCAGCAUCAGAUCGUCCCAACAAUUUUUAGUUAUUUAUUAGAUAUAAUCCCCUCAUGUAUCCGGCCAAAGACGUAUAUAGCAUAAGUUGAGGUUUCACUGUUUGUUGUAUUAUGUCUGUACCCUGUAUCUGUAUCGAGGCCUGUUCUUGUAUUGAGGGCAAUUUCGCCUUCAGUUUCAGAAGAAUUCUGUACUGGACACUGGAUCCGUGUGGACAUAUGUGUUAGUUGUCUUCUAGAGUAUGCUU